GAGAUGUGUGAUGACGCAUAUCAAUAAGCGGAGGAAAAGAAACUAACAAGGAUUCCCCUAGUAACGGCGAGUGAAGCGGGAAGAGCUCAAAUUUGAAAUCUUCAAGGUUCUACCUUGACGAAUUGUAGUUUAUAGAAGUGUUUUCUGUUAGUAGAGUGGCAAAAGUUCUUUGGAAUAGGACAUCAUAGAGGGUGAGAAUCCCGUAUUUGGUCAUUCCUCCUAGCGUUGUGAUACACUUUCAACGAGUCGGAUUGUUUGGGAAUGCAGUCCAAAAUGGGUGGUAAAUUUCAUCUAAAGCUAAAUAUUGGCGAGAGACCGAUAGCGAACAAGUACCGUGAGGGAAAGAUGAAAAGAACUUUGAAAAGAGAGUUAAACAGUACGUGAAAUUGUCAAAAGGGAAGCGUUUGACACCAGUGUUGUUUUUCCGAAAAUCAAUUACGAAUGUUUUGUUUUUGAGGAGUUAUGACUUCAUCGGCUUGCUCCUUUCUUUAUGAAACUUUCUUAAUGCACUUUUCGGUUAACAAGUCAACAUCAAUUUCUUUUGUUGUAAAAGGGUAUGAGGAAGGUGGCUUUCUUUUCGGAGAAAGUGUUUAUAGCCUUGUGCCUCUGCAAUCGGAGAGAUUGAGGUCUGCAGCGUAGAUCCUUCGGGGUUAGAUACGUUUGUGCUAAGUUAUAGCUUUUCAUAGACAACUUGUUGACUAUGUUUAGUCUUGUAGCUUACUCGCUGAUGCUAUUUUACCUACGCUUAGGAUGUUGACGCAUGAGAUAUACGC
This 773-nucleotide ribosomal RNA is filed under the name uncultured Neocallimastigales. Its description in RNAcentral is "partial large subunit ribosomal RNA". It matches the Rfam family "Eukaryotic large subunit ribosomal RNA", at positions 23 to 647 of the family's 3401-position model. The record is from RNAcentral. Lineage: Eukaryota; Fungi; Neocallimastigomycota; Neocallimastigomycetes; Neocallimastigales.